This 1253-nucleotide long non-coding RNA is filed under the name Homo sapiens (human). Its description in RNAcentral is "non-protein coding lnc-MUM1L1-1:1". Lineage: Eukaryota; Metazoa; Chordata; Mammalia; Primates; Hominidae. The record is from RNAcentral.
AUGAGGCUAAGAACAUACAAAGGUUCUCAGCAAUCAAAUCAAAUCUAAAUACAAUGUACUGACAGAAAAGAGGAAAUAUUUACAGGUUUACAAUACCCUGCCUUCAGGAGGAGAAAAACCACCAAAGAAUGAAACUGCCUGUUGACUUCAGUUUUUUCUCUUCACCCAAGAGAGCAAGAGAGAGAAAAUCUUUCAAAAUAGAGUAGAAUUGGACAUGAUAUAUAUAAUAAUUUGAUCACAUCAACAUCUAGAGCAGGAGAAAAGCCUAACAAAUAUCUUGAAAUCUGGUAGUUAUGAAAUGAUAAGUUAAUACAUAAAACAAAAUGUAGAAGUAGAAGAUACUCCUUCCUCUGGCAGUCCCCCAAGGACUACAUUGCUGGGGACUAUAUUUUCUCCUGUCUUCAACUAUUUCUUCACUGGGAAAUAAAAAUGUAACAUCAAGAUCAGAUUCUUCAGGACAGGCUGUGGAAGCUGAAGAGAUACUAAAACAACUUGAUAUGAAACCGGUGGGUGAAAUCACUACUGGUAGGACAGAAUCAAAUAAUGGAGCAGCUUCUUCAAAUCAAGCAGUUCAAGGGAGGCUAUCAAUAAAUUAUGGUUUAGAAGAAGCAGAAGGCACAGUUCAUUGUGAUAUCCCACCCCUUGAACGCAAAUAACUUAGACAGUGAUUAUUCAUCAGCUCAUGCAGAAGCUGCCUAAGAAUAAGACUAGAAAGUAUUUGACCCUAAUUAUGUCAUCAAGCUAGUACACUGCAGUCAAUCUAAAUGAGUAAGAAGAUGUAUCACUUAUUUUUCCAGUUCAUGCUAAGAUUUUAUCAGGUUUAUAUGAGAUUAAGAUCAUGCUUCGAAUAAUUGCUGAAAUGAAUUUCUCAGCGGUAUCAAUGUUUCUACUGCUUCUAAGAAGGUAUAUGCAGACAAGUUACUGAAUAUAUUAGACCUGAAAAUGUGACUAGGUAACUGGUCAGGCACCAGCCCUUCUGAAAAUAUUUUGUUUGUGGACAAGGAAACUAUAUAAAGGACUUAAAUAUCCUCGAAAGAGAUCUUUCAAAAACUAAAAUAAUGAAUAACCCACCAUAAGCAUUUGCAUAUUAGCUUUCUAAUGGAAUCCCUAUAGAAUUGUGGUUUAUAGAUUAAAAUGCCAGUGAACAACUUAAAUUGAUUUCAUUUCUGGAGAAUCUUGUAGAACUGAAUGAAGAUAUUUGACUUCAUGUCAGAGACAGAUUUCACUUACAUCACUUGCUGUCAUCAGAUUAA